UACGUAGGGUGCGAGCGUUGUCCGGAAUUAUUGGGCGUAAAGGGCUCGUAGGCGGUCUGUCGCGUCGAAAGUGAAAACUCAGGGCUUAACCCUGAGCCUGCUUCCGAUACGGGCAGACUAGAGGUAUGCAGGGGAGAACGGAAUUCCUGGUGUAGCGGUGGAAUGCGCAGAUAUCAGGAGGAACACCGGUGGCGAAGGCGGAUCUCUGGGCCGAUACUGACGCUGAGGAGCGAAAGCGUGGGGAGCGAACAGG
Molecule: ribosomal RNA, 253 nt
Filed under: uncultured bacterium
Lineage: Bacteria
Description: partial 16S ribosomal RNA
Rfam family: Bacterial small subunit ribosomal RNA
Source: RNAcentral